AGAUGGCGACCGGCGCACGGGUGAGUAACACGUAUCCAACCUGCCGAUAACUCGGGGAUAGCCUUUCGAAAGAAAGAUUAAUACCCGAUGGCAUAAUUAGACCGCAUGGUCUUAUUAUUAAAGAAUUUCGGUUAUCGAUGGGGAUGCGUUCCACUAGGCAGUUGGUGAGGUAACGGCUCACCAAACCUUCGAUGGAUAGGGGUUCUGAGAGGAAGGUCCCCCACAUUGGAACUGAGACACGGUCCAA
Molecule: ribosomal RNA, 247 nt
Filed under: uncultured bacterium
Lineage: Bacteria
Description: partial 16S ribosomal RNA
Rfam family: Bacterial small subunit ribosomal RNA
Source: RNAcentral